GACGAACGCUGGCGGCGUGCCUAAUACAUGCAAGUUGAGCGCUGAAGGUUGGUACUUGUACCAACUGGAUGAGCAGCGAACGGGUGAGUAACGCGUGGGGAAUCUGCCUUUGAGCGGGGGACAACAUUUGGAAACGAAUGCUAAUACCGCAUAAAAACUUUAAACACAAGUUUUAAGUUUGAAAGAUGCCAUUGCAUCACUCAAAGAUGAUCCCGCGUUGUAUUAGCUAGUUGGUGAGGUAAAGGCUCACCAAGGCGAUGAUACAUAGCCGACCUGAGAGGGUGAUCGGCCACAUUGGGACUGGGACACGGCACAAACUCCUACGGGAGGCAGCAGUAGGGAAUCUUCGGCAAUGGACGAAAGUCUGACCGAGCAACGCCGCGUGAGUGAAGAAGGUUGUCGGAUCGUAAAACUCUGUUGGUAGAGAAGAACGUUGGUGAGAGUGGAAAGCUCAUCAAGUGACGGUAACUACCCAGAAAGGGACGGCUAACUACGUG
Molecule: ribosomal RNA, 497 nt
Filed under: uncultured bacterium
Lineage: Bacteria
Description: partial 16S ribosomal RNA
Rfam family: Bacterial small subunit ribosomal RNA
Source: RNAcentral